CCCAACUCAAGGGAGGCUGGGGAUUUAGUCUCUCGCUGGGCAGCCAUGUACUCAGAACUUUGUGGGAGGGGGUGCCUCCUUUGGGUAAGGUGGUUGAGCAGUGACCUCCUGACGGUUUCCUGACCCUUGGUCUUGACUUGCCCUGUAGCAGCCAACUCCAAACAGCCGAUUCACAUGGUCUACGUCCCCUCCCACCUCUACCACAUGCUCUUUGAGCUCUUCAAGGUGAGGAGGCUGGGAGACGGUGCUUUGCGGGGAGCGUGAGUAGGGCUGGCUUCUCCCAUGCAUCUCUUACCUCUGCCCCUCCGCAGAAUGCCAUGAGGGCGACUGUGGAAAGCCAUGAGUCCAGCCUCAUUCUCCCACCCAUCAAGGUCAUGGUGGCCUUGGGCGAGGAAGAUCUGUCCAUCAAGAUGAGUGACCGAGGUGGGGGUGUUCCCUUGAGGAAGAUUGAGCGACUCUUCAGCUACAUGUACUCCACAGCACCCACCCCCCAGCCUGGCACUGGGGGAACGCCGCUGGCUGGCUUUGGUUAUGGGCUCCCCAUUUCCCGCCUCUACGCCAAGUACUUCCAGGGAGACCUGCAGCUCUUCUCCAUGGAAGGCUUUGGGACCGAUGCUGUCAUCUAUCUCAAGGCCCUGUCCACGGACUCGGUGGAGCGCC
Molecule: small RNA, 660 nt
Filed under: Pan troglodytes (chimpanzee)
Lineage: Eukaryota; Metazoa; Chordata; Mammalia; Primates; Hominidae
Description: retained intron
Source: RNAcentral